AUUCCAGCUCCAAUAGCGUAUAUUUAAGUUGUUGCAGUUAAAAAGCUCGUAGUUGGAUUUCGGGCGGGGCUUGCCGGUCCGCUCUUCGAGUGUGCACUGGCGGCGCCGUCUUUCUGUCGAGGACGCGCUUCUGGCCUUUACUGGUCGGGACGCGGAGUCGGCGAGGUUACUUUGAAAAAAUUAGAGUGUUCAAAGCGGGCUUUCGCUUGAAUAUAUUAGCAUGGAAUAACACUAUAGGACUCCUGUCCUAUUUUGUUGGUCUUCGGGACGGGAGUAAUGAUUAAGAGGAACAGUUGGGGGCAUUCGUAUUUCAUUGUCAGAGGUGAAAUUCUUGGAUUUAUGAAAGACGAACUUCUGCGAAAGCAUUUGCCAAGGAUGUUUUCAUCA
RNAcentral lists this ribosomal RNA (387 nucleotides) under Crustomastigaceae sp. RNAcentral describes it as "partial small subunit ribosomal RNA". It matches the Rfam family "Eukaryotic small subunit ribosomal RNA", at positions 582 to 975 of the family's 1831-position model. Lineage: Eukaryota; Viridiplantae; Chlorophyta; Mamiellophyceae; Dolichomastigales; Crustomastigaceae. The record is from RNAcentral.